GAGGUUACGGGAAGGAAGGGCGAGUGUGCGCACGCGCGGGCACUCCCCAGCCUCGUACCUGGUUACCUAGGAGACGGCGAGGCGCUCACCCUCCUGGUUUGGGUCGUGCUUCUUUGCUCCAGGCCUUGGCUCAGGCGGCAGGUGGGGGAGAGUAAACGUGUUGACCCAAAGUUGCAACUCCCAAGAAGAAACCUCACGUCGGGUUGCAGGAAAGCAACAAACCUCUACAGGCUGGAGAGGAGAAUGUGUGGGACAAGCAGGGCCUCAUGAUUUCAGCUACUUGCUUGGGCCUUCCCAAGCCCCACUGUGUGGGUUGAGGGAGUCCUUUCCCGGUGACCUCCAAAACAAAGCGUUCGUGUUCUCCAACUCCGCCUCUUUCCUAACUGCUGGCUUUGUUGAACCAAGAUGACCCACAGUAUGGAGCUGCUGAAAGGACGAGGGGCAACAUGAACAACAAAAUAAGACCACUGGGAGUUCCUGCUGUGGCGCAAUGGCAUUGGCGUCAUCUCUGCAGCGCCAGGAUGCAGGAUCCCUGAGGAUCUGGAUUUUGUCUUUGCUCUGCUCGGGGCCAGGAUCUGGACCAACUCCCUGGCUGUGUGGCUGCAGACCUAUCCCUCCCUCCUUCACGUGCUCCUGUUCCUCUUGCUGUGCUCUUACUGGCGACAUAGUUAGGCACCUACUGGGAGCAGAACUCAGAGAAGAAAGAGACUUAUGAAAGUGAUGGCUGUUUUAAAUUAGAACUGUAGAGUCAUCUUACUUUUUUUUUUUUUUUUUUUUUUUUUUUUUUUUUUUUUUUUUGCCAGGCCCGCAGCAUGCAGAAGCUAUGGGGCCAGGGAUCGAACUAGCACUAUAGCAGUGACAACGCCAGAGCCAGAUCCUUAGCCCCCUAGGCCACUGGGGAACUCCCUAAUGUUUAAACUUUUUAUUGGUGAACAAAUUUCCUACCUUCAAAGAUACAUAAUUUCACAAAUAGAAAUACAUGAAAAAGCUAGUAUUCGUGUUAGAUUUCAGUAAAGAAGUCUUAGGCCCAAGGUGAAGAGGAAUUUCCAGUUUAUGAAUAUAUUUAAGUACCCAAGCUGGCUACCGUGUAGUGUAUAGAGAGCUCUUUUGAAAGGCCUUGAAGGAGAGACUGAAUUUCUAGCUGGCAGGAAUGGUUUGGGUUAAGGAUUUCAUUUCUGUGAUGUUUCUAAUUAAAACCUCCCAGCUCCUCUGGCCGAA
This 1218-nucleotide long non-coding RNA is filed under the name Sus scrofa (pig). RNAcentral's name for it is "lncRNA (ENSSSCG00045012861.1)". The record is from RNAcentral. Lineage: Eukaryota; Metazoa; Chordata; Mammalia; Artiodactyla; Suidae.